UGGCGCCCAACGUGGGACCUUUUUGGGUCUGGGGUCCGAGAGAACGUCGCUCCCCGAUGGUCGACCAAGGAACAUAGGACCACCACUUCAGAGAAGGAGUGAGUGAAGGUUCACAUAGGAUCGCCGCUUUAGCCCAGAGUGAGUGAAGAUCCGCAUGGUGAUUGCUGCAGAUUUACCUGUCUGUGAGAUUGAUCCGUUUUAAGGUAAGAAAGAGCGACGCAAUUAUGGGACAAGCAUUGAGCAAACAUGAUUUAUUUCUUAGGGGCCUCAAAGAGUCCCUCAAGACACGAGGAACAAGGGUUAAGAAAAAGGAUCUCAAAAAGUUUUUCGAUUUUGUGAAUGAUGUUUGUCCGU
Erinaceus europaeus (western European hedgehog) is the source of this 354-nucleotide non-coding RNA. The record is from Rfam. Lineage: Eukaryota; Metazoa; Chordata; Mammalia; Eulipotyphla; Erinaceidae.